CGGCCCGCGGGCCAGGACUCACCGCACCGGGACGCCAGUCCUCCCCCGGGACGCCUGUCCCCGACCACCUGCCGGCCUCCUCCUGGUGCGCGCGGCUUCUGGUGACCGUUCUGGGCACGCGGCGCGGGACUGAUGGAGAGCCUCCCAGGGGGACCGCAGUGUCCUCGGCUCCACGUCGUCGCCUGGCUUCUGCGGACCCGAAAUUCUGCCUCCCCGGACUGUGAACCCCGCUGAGGCCGGAGCAGGGUCACUCCCGGGACACCCCUCGAAAUGGCAGGGCAUGUGCGGGGGAGGACGGGAGCCCCCCGGGGCCGAAUGAAGACCCCCAACAGCCCACCUCCCGCGGUGGGCAUUUCAAUGGUGAGGGGCAGCCCCCAGACACAGGUUUUGCGUCAAGGCUCUGAUGAUGGUGAUGGUGAUGGUGAUGGCUAAGCUCCAGCAACCCCUUCCUGGCAGCGGGCGCUCUGUUAAGUACUUCACAUGAGUUUUCUCAAUGUAUCCUCACAUCAAACCUAAGACCCUCACUAUGCUUGUCAGUGUUUCACCGAUAAAGAGACUGAUGCUUAAGUUAGAGAAGUUGCCAAAGGUGCGAUGGUGAGUAACCGCGGGCCUGAUGAUGCCAAAGACCCUCGAAGCACCACCUCCCGGCCUGCGGGUGUCCGCCAGCCACGAGUGCACCGAGUACCGGGUACCGCCGCUGGAGUGUUCUCACCCUCGGCGGGAGAUUGGCACGUCCUCCGCUCCUUUCUGAGUUCUCCUCUUUGCAGGUCCUCUUCGUACCAAGGAAAGGCGCCUCCAGGACCCCAGGCGGCGAUCAGCAGCCUGCCCGCCCCCAGCCCUAACCCUGAACUGGGAGAUGCGCAAAUGUGCUAUCGUUCAGAGUUUGCCUCUCAGACUUUGUCCUCCAGACUGAGUCUCCGGUUCUCAGAGGGCCCCCCUAGGGACACUGCUACCUGUCCUGGACUGGCCUCCAGCUGACUCCUCCCUGGAGAAUCCACUGGUCCUGUGCUGCCCCCAUCUCACCCAUCCAAGAGCCAUGAGGCCCCAGCACGGCCGAGUCUUCCUCAGCUGGUCACACAACAAGAAGUCCGAGAGCCCUCAAAGUGUGAGAAGGAUUUGACUCGAGACCAGAGGGGCCCCGUGGCAGUGAGCUGAGAGCAGCCUCUGGGGGCCGAGAGCCGUCCACACCAACUGCCAGCAAGACGGGGGGAACCUCAGUCCUACAGCCACCAGGGAGUUAGUUCUUUGGAAGCUGGGAAGCCACUCGUUCCCUCCUGAAGCCUGCAGAUGUGGAUGCAGCUGGUGAGGCCCUGGUCUCAGCCUCAGAGACCCUGGGCAGAGGGCCAGCUAAAAUGUGCUGGACUCGUGGGAACCGUGAGCCAAUGAAAGCUGCCGUGUCCUCUGUUCUGGUGAGGUCAUCUGUCGCACGGCAGUGGAAAACUGAUCUGACCCCUGGGCCCCUCCCAGGGCAGAGCUUCUCGACUCUGCUGCAGGUAGGGAGCACUAGUGGCUGGAGGCACUUUCUCCUCACAACUUAAAAAAAGAAAAGCAAUCAGGAGAAAUUUUGCCCUAUGAGGUAUUUAAAGUAUAUUUUAAAGCCAGAAGAAUCAAAAUUGCCUGGCGUUGGGCUCGGGGAUAGGGGUAGAUUAAUCCAAUCAUGCAAUACAAUGGACCCAGAACUAAAUAUGAAAUCUUUUGUUCUUGAUAAAAGAGGCAUAUCAAGAACUAAAUUAGUGAAUAAAUAAUGUUUAAUUAAUGCUGUUGGA
This is a long non-coding RNA of Bubalus bubalis (water buffalo), 1766 nucleotides long. RefSeq lists it as uncharacterized. NCBI's taxonomy places the organism in Eukaryota, Metazoa, Chordata, Mammalia, Artiodactyla, Bovidae. The record is from RefSeq and is a predicted model, not a curated record. The transcript has 2 exons.